GGGGCUAUGGCUCACUGGCAGAGCAUCUGCAUGGAAUGCAGAAGGUCCCAGGUUCAAUCCCUGGUAUCUCCA
Molecule: non-coding RNA, 72 nt
Organism: Gekko japonicus
Lineage: Eukaryota; Metazoa; Chordata; Lepidosauria; Squamata; Gekkonidae
Source: the annotation of a RefSeq genome assembly